This 76-nucleotide transfer RNA is filed under the name Clostridia bacterium. RNAcentral describes it as "tRNA-Thr". It matches the Rfam family "tRNA". From Rfam's summary of the family: Transfer RNA (tRNA) molecules are approximately 80 nucleotides in length. Lineage: Bacteria; Bacillati; Bacillota; Clostridia. The record is from RNAcentral.
GCUGGUGUAGCACAGUCGGUAGUGCAGCUGAUUCGUAAUCAGCAGGUCGCAGGUUCAAGUCCCGUCACCAGCUCCA